AACGGAAACACAACCGAGGGUGACCCUCAGUUAGGGAAGCUGGGUGCUACAGUAUUCCUUGUUUAAAUUUUCGUUGGCAGAAUUACCCCCAAUUCACAUCGAAAAAUUCAGCUUUUGUUUCGCCGCUCAACAACAAAUUGCUGCUAGAUACACGAUGGUUUGAGAGAGUUUCUUGGUUGAGAAAUUGAGCGAGGCAUCGAGAGGGGGAACAGACGAGAGGCGGCGCCCUCAGCCGGACACAGCCUCGCCGACCUCUCCAUACCCGCCGACCCCUGUUGCACUUGUUGUGGUUGGUAUAUUUUCCCCAAUGCGUAAUUUGUGAAUGCGAAAUUGCGCUGAUUUUUUUGUUUAAUUUUGUUGGGUCUGGUCGUGUUUUUUGAAUUUUGAUUAUUUUUGUUCUUCAAAUUUGAGAUAUGUUACAGUGGUUGAUGACAUUGGGCGAGGGCAUUUCGGCCACUUCACUCACCUGAUAUUAUGCGUGGCCACCUAACACUUAACACCCUUUUACACGGCUCUAUAGAUGGACUAUCAAAUACACAACCCAUAUAGCUUAGAGACCCCAAUACAGGUUACAUUUUCUUGGGUUUAUUUAAAUGGGCUUAUCCCAACUAUGUAAUCAAACAUGGCCAUAAUCCAACACAUGAUACCGAAUCUAUUACAAAAGUCAUAGAUAAUGCAUCAACUAUCAACUAUCUAUCUAAGCAUGAAUUCAAAUACUAACACCAAAAGGACUGAAAUGACCACACACUGCACUCAAAUUUGUCUCUUAUUUGCCUUGUUUGCAGUCUCCAAGAUCGAGAGUUCAACUCUAAGACCAUGAUUCUACUUCAAGAACUCCCCAUUUGACUCAGAAAUCUUGUAGUCUUGCCUAUCCAAAAAUUGAGCUUCUUCGGGCAAUUUUCAACAACAUAUCGAGCAUCCGAAACAGUUACUUGAGCUUCAGCCCAUUGAAAAUAAUCACACUACAAGAAGAAGGGAAUAAUUAACUCAAUACAGUCAAACAAAGCUUCAAACAAC
RNAcentral lists this long non-coding RNA (1017 nucleotides) under Salvia miltiorrhiza (redroot sage). RNAcentral's name for it is "long non-coding RNA (SMIL_LNC003360)". Lineage: Eukaryota; Viridiplantae; Streptophyta; Magnoliopsida; Lamiales; Lamiaceae. The record is from RNAcentral.